RNAcentral lists this ribosomal RNA (2925 nucleotides) under Escherichia coli. RNAcentral describes it as "bacterial LSU rRNA". It matches the Rfam family "Bacterial large subunit ribosomal RNA". Lineage: Bacteria; Pseudomonadati; Pseudomonadota; Gammaproteobacteria; Enterobacterales; Enterobacteriaceae. The record is from RNAcentral.
GGGUUGUGAGGUUAAGCGACUAAGCGUACACGGUGGAUGCCCUGGCAGUCAGAGGCGAUGAAGGACGUGCUAAUCUGCGAUAAGCGUCGGUAAGGUGAUAUGAACCGUUAUAACCGGCGAUUUCCGAAUGGGGAAACCCAGUGUGUUUCGACACACUAUCAUUAACUGAAUCCAUAGGUUAAUGAGGCGAACCGGGGGAACUGAAACAUCUAAGUACCCCGAGGAAAAGAAAUCAACCGAGAUUCCCCCAGUAGCGGCGAGCGAACGGGGAGCAGCCCAGAGCCUGAAUCAGUGUGUGUGUUAGUGGAAGCGUCUGGAAAGGCGCGCGAUACAGGGUGACAGCCCCGUACACAAAAAUGCACAUGCUGUGAGCUCGAUGAGUAGGGCGGGACACGUGGUAUCCUGUCUGAAUAUGGGGGGACCAUCCUCCAAGGCUAAAUACUCCUGACUGACCGAUAGUGAACCAGUACCGUGAGGGAAAGGCGAAAAGAACCCCGGCGAGGGGAGUGAAAAAGAACCUGAAACCGUGUACGUACAAGCAGUGGGAGCCUCUUUUAUGGGGUGACUGCGUACCUUUUGUAUAAUGGGUCAGCGACUUAUAUUCUGUAGCAAGGUUAACCGAAUAGGGGAGCCGAAGGGAAACCGAGUCUUAACUGGGCGUUAAGUUGCAGGGUAUAGACCCGAAACCCGGUGAUCUAGCCAUGGGCAGGUUGAAGGUUGGGUAACACUAACUGGAGGACCGAACCGACUAAUGUUGAAAAAUUAGCGGAUGACUUGUGGCUGGGGGUGAAAGGCCAAUCAAACCGGGAGAUAGCUGGUUCUCCCCGAAAGCUAUUUAGGUAGCGCCUCGUGAAUUCAUCUCCGGGGGUAGAGCACUGUUUCGGCAAGGGGGUCAUCCCGACUUACCAACCCGAUGCAAACUGCGAAUACCGGAGAAUGUUAUCACGGGAGACACACGGCGGGUGCUAACGUCCGUCGUGAAGAGGGAAACAACCCAGACCGCCAGCUAAGGUCCCAAAGUCAUGGUUAAGUGGGAAACGAUGUGGGAAGGCCCAGACAGCCAGGAUGUUGGCUUAGAAGCAGCCAUCAUUUAAAGAAAGCGUAAUAGCUCACUGGUCGAGUCGGCCUGCGCGGAAGAUGUAACGGGGCUAAACCAUGCACCGAAGCUGCGGCAGCGACGCUUAUGCGUUGUUGGGUAGGGGAGCGUUCUGUAAGCCUGCGAAGGUGUACUGUGAGGUAUGCUGGAGGUAUCAGAAGUGCGAAUGCUGACAUAAGUAACGAUAAAGCGGGUGAAAAGCCCGCUCGCCGGAAGACCAAGGGUUCCUGUCCAACGUUAAUCGGGGCAGGGUGAGUCGACCCCUAAGGCGAGGCCGAAAGGCGUAGUCGAUGGGAAACAGGUUAAUAUUCCUGUACUUGGUGUUACUGCGAAGGGGGGACGGAGAAGGCUAUGUUGGCCGGGCGACGGUUGUCCCGGUUUAAGCGUGUAGGCUGGUUUUCCAGGCAAAUCCGGAAAAUCAAGGCUGAGGCGUGAUGACGAGGCACUACGGUGCUGAAGCAACAAAUGCCCUGCUUCCAGGAAAAGCCUCUAAGCAUCAGGUAACAUCAAAUCGUACCCCAAACCGACACAGGUGGUCAGGUAGAGAAUACCAAGGCGCUUGAGAGAACUCGGGUGAAGGAACUAGGCAAAAUGGUGCCGUAACUUCGGGAGAAGGCACGCUGAUAUGUAGGUGAAGUCCCUCGCGGAUGGAGCUGAAAUCAGUCGAAGAUACCAGCUGGCUGCAACUGUUUAUUAAAAACACAGCACUGUGCAAACACGAAAGUGGACGUAUACGGUGUGACGCCUGCCCGGUGCCGGAAGGUUAAUUGAUGGGGUUAGCGCAAGCGAAGCUCUUGAUCGAAGCCCCGGUAAACGGCGGCCGUAACUAUAACGGUCCUAAGGUAGCGAAAUUCCUUGUCGGGUAAGUUCCGACCUGCACGAAUGGCGUAAUGAUGGCCAGGCUGUCUCCACCCGAGACUCAGUGAAAUUGAACUCGCUGUGAAGAUGCAGUGUACCCGCGGCAAGACGGAAAGACCCCGUGAACCUUUACUAUAGCUUGACACUGAACAUUGAGCCUUGAUGUGUAGGAUAGGUGGGAGGCUUUGAAGUGUGGACGCCAGUCUGCAUGGAGCCGACCUUGAAAUACCACCCUUUAAUGUUUGAUGUUCUAACGUGGACCCGUGAUCCGGGUUGCGGACAGUGUCUGGUGGGUAGUUUGACUGGGGCGGUCUCCUCCUAAAGAGUAACGGAGGAGCACGAAGGUUGGCUAAUCCUGGUCGGACAUCAGGAGGUUAGUGCAAUGGCAUAAGCCAGCUUGACUGCGAGCGUGACGGCGCGAGCAGGUGCGAAAGCAGGUCAUAGUGAUCCGGUGGUUCUGAAUGGAAGGGCCAUCGCUCAACGGAUAAAAGGUACUCCGGGGAUAACAGGCUGAUACCGCCCAAGAGUUCAUAUCGACGGCGGUGUUUGGCACCUCGAUGUCGGCUCAUCACAUCCUGGGGCUGAAGUAGGUCCCAAGGGUAUGGCUGUUCGCCAUUUAAAGUGGUACGCGAGCUGGGUUUAGAACGUCGUGAGACAGUUCGGUCCCUAUCUGCCGUGGGCGCUGGAGAACUGAGGGGGGCUGCUCCUAGUACGAGAGGACCGGAGUGGACGCAUCACUGGUGUUCGGGUUGUCAUGCCAAUGGCACUGCCCGGUAGCUAAAUGCGGAAGAGAUAAGUGCUGAAAGCAUCUAAGCACGAAACUUGCCCCGAGAUGAGUUCUCCCUGACUCCUUGAGAGUCCUGAAGGAACGUUGAAGACGACGACGUUGAUAGGCCGGGUGUGUAAGCGCAGCGAUGCGUUGAGCUAACCGGUACUAAUGAACCGUGAGGCUUAACCUUACAACGCCGAAG